GGAUUCUUUCGGGAUGAAACUUUAAAUGUCUUAGCGGCGGACGGGUGAGUAACGCGUGAGAAACCUGCCUUUCACAAAGGGAUAGCCUCGGGAAACUGGGAUUAAUACCUUAUGAUACUUAACUACCGCAUGGUAGAGAAGUUAAAGCGUAAAGCGGUGAAAGAUGGUCUCGCGUCCCAUUAGUUAGUUGGUGAGGUAAAGGCUCACCAAGACUACGAUGGGUAGCCGGCCUGAGAGGGUGAACGGCCACACUGGAACUGAGACACGGUCCAGACUCCUACGGGAGGCAGCAGUGGGGAAUAUUGCACAAUGGAGGAAACUCUGAUGCAGCGACGCCGCGUGAAUGAUGAAGGCCUUCGGGUCGUAAAAUUCUGUCCUAGGGGACGAUAAUGACGGUACCCUAGGAGGAAGCCCCGGCUAACUACGUGCCAGCAGCCGCGGUAAUACGUAGGGGGCGAGCGUUGUCCGGAAUUAUUGGGCGUAAAGGGUUCGCAGGCGGUCUUUUAAGUCAGAUGUGAAAGGCUACGGCUCAACCGUGGUAAGCAUUUGAAACUGAAAGACUUGAGUUAAGGAGAGGAAAGUGGAAUUCCUAGUGUAGCGGUGAAAUGCGUAGAUAUUAGGAGGAAUACCAGUGGCGAAGGCGACUUUCUGGACUUAUACUGACGCUGAGGAACGAAAGCGUGGGGAGCAAACAGGAUUAGAUACCCUGGUAGUCCACGCCGUAAACGAUGAGUGCUAGGUGUUGGGGGUCAAACCUCGGUGCCGCAGCUAACGCAUUAAGCACUCCGCCUGGGGAGUACGUACGCAAGUAUGAAACUCAAAGGAAUUGACGGGGGACCCGCACAAGCAGCGGAGCAUGUGGUUUAAUUCGAAGCAACGCGAAGAACCUUACCAGGGCUUGACAUGCCACUGACCG
Molecule: ribosomal RNA, 916 nt
Filed under: uncultured bacterium
Lineage: Bacteria
Description: bacterial SSU rRNA
Rfam family: Bacterial small subunit ribosomal RNA
Source: RNAcentral